This 397-nucleotide ribosomal RNA is filed under the name uncultured bacterium. Its description in RNAcentral is "partial 16S ribosomal RNA". It matches the Rfam family "Bacterial small subunit ribosomal RNA", at positions 523 to 918 of the family's 1533-position model. The record is from RNAcentral.
AUAUGUAGGGGGCGAGCGUUGUCCGGAAUGAUUGGGCGUAAAGGGCGCGUAGGCGGCCCGGUAAGUCUGGAGUGAAAGUCCUGUUUUUAAGAUGGGAAUUGCUUUGGAUACUGUCGGGCUUGAGUGCAGGAGAGGUAAGUGUAAUUCCCAGUGUAGCGGUGAAAUGCGUAGAGAUUGGGAGGAACACCAGUGGCGAAGGCGACUUACCGGACUGUAACUGACGCUGAGGCGCGAAAGUGUGGGGAGCAAACAGGAUUAGAUACCCUGGUAGUCCACACUGUAAACGAUGAAUGCUAGGUGUAGGGGGUAUCGACCCCUUCUGUGCCGCAGUCAACACAAUAAGCAUUCCGCCUGGGGAGUACGGCCGCAAGGUUGAAACUCAAAGGAAUUGACGGGG